GCAACAUUACAGUUAUGAAGUAACAACGAAAAUAAUUUUAUGGUUGGGGGUCACCACAACAUGAACUGUAUUAAUGAGUCGCGGCAUCAGGAAGGUUGAGAACCACUGGUCUAGAGGAAAAUGUAAAUAGCUAAUCAUUUUAUUUGAUUACGAAAGGGAGUGGAGGUGGCCUUCAAAGGGCUACAAAGAUAGCUGAAGCCUGUGAAAACAGAGGGAUGGAAAGUUCCAGAUCCAGAGGUCGUAUGUAUUUUUUUUUUUAGCAUUAGAAUUUUGUUGCUUCUCUUUUACAGGGUGAUUUGUGAUUCCCGAGUGAGGGUUGAACUAUCAACAGGCAUGCCUCGGAGAUCUUAUUUGGAUAGACCACCUGCCCGACAUCCCUUUGAUCCAAAUGAUAGAUGCUAUGAGUGUGGUGAAAAGGGACAUUAUGCUUAUUAUUGUCAUCGCUAUAGCCGACGAAGAAGAAGCAGAACGAGGAACACCAGAUUGACCACAUUUCCAACUAGAAAAAUCUUCUUGCGUCAAUCAAGCCUCACCUGGCUCAUUUGGCUGUCAGUUUGAUCGUCAUUAGAUUGAAGAAAACAUCUAGAUGCAGCGAUCGGCUAUCGAUACUUCUGUAUCAUCUAGAUCUACUAGACCACGGGCCAAAGAGGGUCGACCUGCAAACUUGCAAGGUCACGGUCUAGAUCACAUUCGAGAUCCAGAGGUAGACGAUAUUCUCGCUCACAGAGCAGGAGCAGGAGCAAGAGCAGGGCAAGGAGGUCGAGAUCAGCAUCUCCUCGACGAUCAAGAUCUGUAUCUCUUCGUAGAUCACGAUCCGCUUCACUCCGACGAUCUAGAUCUGGUUCUAUAAAAGGAUCGAGAUCUCGGUCAAGGUCAAGAUCAAGAUCCAGGUCUAUUUCACGACCAAGAAGCAGCCGAUCAAAGUCCAGAUCUCCAUCUCCAAAAGAGAAGCCUUGUGAUGGAGAAUCAAAAAAA
Long non-coding RNA from Myotis lucifugus (little brown bat), 975 nucleotides. RefSeq lists it as uncharacterized. The record is from RefSeq and is a predicted model, not a curated record. The transcript has 7 exons. Lineage: Eukaryota; Metazoa; Chordata; Mammalia; Chiroptera; Vespertilionidae.